AGGGCUUUGAUCCUGGCUCAGGAUGAACGCUGGCGGCGUGCCUAACACAUGCAAGUCGAGCGAUCUCUUCGGAGAGAGCGGCGGACGGGUGAGUAACGCGUGGGUAACCUGCCCUGUACACACGGAUAACAUACCGAAAGGUAUACUAAUACGGGAUAAUAUACGAAAGUCGCAUGGCUUUUGUAUCAAAGCUCCGGCGGUACAGGAUGGACCCGCGUCUGAUUAGCUAGUUGGUAAGGUAAUGGCUUACCAAGGCAACGAUCAGUAGCCGACCUGAGAGGGUGAUCGGCCACACUGGAACUGAGACACGGUCCAGACUCCUACGGGAGGCAGCAGUGGGGAAUAUUGCACAAUGGGCGAAAGCCUGAUGCAGCAACGCCGCGUGAGCGAUGAAGGCCUUCGGGUCGUAAAGCUCUGUCCUCAAGGAAGAUAAUGACGGUACUUGAGGAGGAAGCCCCGGCUGA
Molecule: ribosomal RNA, 464 nt
Filed under: uncultured Peptostreptococcaceae bacterium
Lineage: Bacteria; Bacillati; Bacillota; Clostridia; Peptostreptococcales; Peptostreptococcaceae
Description: bacterial SSU rRNA
Rfam family: Bacterial small subunit ribosomal RNA
Source: RNAcentral